CGAACGCUGGCGGCGUGCCUAAUACAUGCAAGUCGAGCGGCCUGAUUUAGAGCUUGCUCUUAUGACGUUAGCGGCGGACGGGUGAGUAACACGUGGGCAACCUGCCCUGUAGAUCGGGAUAACACCGAGAAAUCGGUGCUAAUACCGGGUAAUAUCUGAGAUCACAUGAUCUUAGGUUAAAAGAUGGCUCCGGCUAUCACUACAGGAUGGGCCCGCGGCGCAUUAGCUAGUUGGUAAGGUAAUGGCUUACCAAGGCGACGAUGCGUAGCCGACCUGGGAGGGUGAUCGGCCAAACUGGGACUGGGACACGGCCCAGACUCCUACGGGGGGCAGCAGUAGGGAAUCUUCCGCAAUUGACGGAAGUCUGGAGGAGCAACGCCGCGUGAGUGAUGAAGGGUUUCGGCUCGUAAAGCUCUGUUGUUAGGGAAGAAACAGUACCGAACGAACUAGGUCGGUACCUUGACGGUACCUAACCAGAAAGCCACGGCUAACUACGUG
RNAcentral lists this ribosomal RNA (498 nucleotides) under uncultured bacterium. Its description in RNAcentral is "partial 16S ribosomal RNA". It matches the Rfam family "Bacterial small subunit ribosomal RNA", at positions 30 to 507 of the family's 1533-position model. The record is from RNAcentral.